CCUACGGGGGCAGCAGUAGGGAAUUUUGCGCAAUGGGCGAAAGCCUGAACCAGCCAAGUAGCGUGAAGGAUGACUGCCCUAUGGGUUGUAAACUUCUUUUAUAUGGGAAUAAAAUGUUCCACGUGUGGGAUUUUGUAUGUACCAUAUGAAUAAGGAUCGGCUAACUCCGUGCCAGCAGCCGCGGUAAUACGGAGGAUCCGAGCGUUAUCCGGAUUUAUUGGGUUUAAAGGGAGCGUAGGUGGAUUGUUAAGUCAGUUGUGAAAGUUUGCGGCUCAACCGUAAAAUUGCAGUUGAAACUGGCAGUCUUGAGUACAGUAGAGGUGGGCGGAAUUCGUGGUGUAGCGGUGAAAUGCUUAGAUAUCACGAAGAACUCCGAUUGCGAAGGCAGCUCACUGGACUGCAACUGACACUGAGGCUCGAAAGUGUGGGUAUCAAACAGGAUUAGAUACCCUAGUAGUC
RNAcentral lists this ribosomal RNA (459 nucleotides) under uncultured bacterium. RNAcentral describes it as "partial 16S ribosomal RNA". It matches the Rfam family "Bacterial small subunit ribosomal RNA", at positions 338 to 795 of the family's 1533-position model. The record is from RNAcentral.